GAGGAAAGCUGGCGGCGUGCUUAACACAUGCCAGUCGAACGGAAAGGCCCUGCUUUUGUGGGGUGCUCGAGUGGCGAACGGGUGAGUAACACGUGAGUAACCUGCCCUUGACUUUGGGAUAACUUCAGGAAACUGGGGCUAAUACCGGAUAGGAGCUCCUGCUGCAUGGUGGGGGUUGGAAAGUUUCGGCGGGUGGGGAUGGACUCGCGGCUUAUCAGCUUGUUGGUGGGGUAGUGGCUUACCAAGGCUGUGACGGGUAGCCGGCCUGAGAGGGUGACCGGCCACAUUGGGACUGAGAUAAGGCACAGACUCCUACGGGAGGCAGCAGUGGGGAAUAUUGCACAAUGGGCGGAAGCCUGAUGCAGCAACGCCGCGUGCGGGAUGACGGCCUUCGGGUUGUAAACCGCUUUCGCCUGUGACGAAGCGUGAGUGACGGUAAUGGGUAAAGAAGCACCGGCUAACUACGUG
Molecule: ribosomal RNA, 468 nt
Filed under: uncultured bacterium
Lineage: Bacteria
Description: partial 16S ribosomal RNA
Rfam family: Bacterial small subunit ribosomal RNA
Source: RNAcentral